Molecule: small nuclear RNA, 21 nt
Filed under: Arabidopsis thaliana (thale cress)
Lineage: Eukaryota; Viridiplantae; Streptophyta; Magnoliopsida; Brassicales; Brassicaceae
Description: snRNA_03368
Source: RNAcentral
GUUUUUGGUCCCAAGGCUCGC